UAGGGAAUCUUCGGCAAUGGACGAAAGUCUGACCGAGCAACGCCGCGUGAGUGAAGAAGGUUUUCGGAUCGUAAAACUCUGUUGUUAGAGAAGAACAAGGACGUUAGUAACUGAACGUCCCCUGACGGUAUCUAACCAGAAAGCCACGGCUAACUACGUGCCAGCAGCCGCGGUAAUACGUAGGUGGCAAGCGUUGUCCGGAUUUAUUGGGCGUAAAGCGAGCGCAGGCGGUCUCUUAAGUCUGAUGUGAAAGCCCCCGGCUCAACCGGGGAGGGUCAUUGGAAACUGGGAGACUUGAGUGCAGAAGAGGAGAGUGGAAUUCCAUGUGUAGCGGUGAAAUGCGUAGAUAUAUGGAGGAACACCAGUGGCGAAUGCGGCUCUCUGGUCUGUAACUGACGCUGAGGCUCGAAAGCGUGGGGAGCAAACAGG
This 429-nucleotide ribosomal RNA is filed under the name Chloroflexota bacterium. RNAcentral's name for it is "Chloroflexi bacterium partial 16S ribosomal RNA". It matches the Rfam family "Bacterial small subunit ribosomal RNA", at positions 355 to 776 of the family's 1533-position model. The record is from RNAcentral. Lineage: Bacteria; Bacillati; Chloroflexota.